GCGCGAGUGGGCAAGCUGGUAAAGCCGCUCGGUUCAGAACCGAGAGAUUCUGCGGGUUCGACUCCCGCCUCGCGCA
Molecule: transfer RNA, 76 nt
Filed under: Deltaproteobacteria bacterium
Lineage: Bacteria; Pseudomonadati; Myxococcota; Myxococcia
Also listed under: 1 other name
Description: tRNA-Leu
Rfam family: tRNA
About the family: Transfer RNA (tRNA) molecules are approximately 80 nucleotides in length.
Source: RNAcentral